This 1340-nucleotide ribosomal RNA is filed under the name Acidiella diversa. RNAcentral's name for it is "16S ribosomal RNA". The stretch from base 1087 to 1246 matches the Rfam family "Archaeal large subunit ribosomal RNA", at positions 2544 to 2703 of the family's 2987-position model. Lineage: Eukaryota; Metazoa; Arthropoda; Insecta; Diptera; Tephritidae. The record is from RNAcentral.
GUUUUAUAUAAAAUUUAUUUAUUAAUUUUUUUUUUUUAUUUUAUAAUUUAUUAAAAAUAAUUAUAUAAUUUGAUGUUUUAGUAAUUUUUAAUGAAAAAAUAAUUUUUAUAAUAGUUAAAUAUGUAUUGUGAAAGAAUAUUGAAAUAAUUUGAAAAAUUUUUAUUAAAAAAGAAAAUUUAAAUUAUUGUACCUUGUGUAUCAGGGUUUAUUAAAAAAUUAAUAAUUAUUUAUUAAUCUCGAUUUUAUAAGAGUUAAUAAUUUAUUAAAGUUAAUGUGUCAAAAUUAUUUUUAAUAAAUUAUUAGAAAUGAAAUGUUAUUCGUUUAUAAAGGUAUCUAGUUUUUUUAGAAAUAAAUUUAAUUUACAAUAUUUUAAUUUUUUAUUUAUUUAUUUAAAUAAAAAAUUUAUUAAAUUGAAUAUUUAAAGGGAUAAGCUUUUGAAUAAAUUGUUAAAAAUUAAUAAUUAUUUUAUAAAAUGUAUGUUUAGAAUUAGCAAUCAUUUAUAAGUUUGUUAUAAAUUAUUUUAUUUAAUUAUAUUAUUUAUUAGUUUUUUAAAUUUUUAUAAAAAAAUUUUUUUUAAUAUUGUUAUAAGAAGUAAUAAUGAUAAAAUUAGUAUAUUUUUAUUGUUUAUAUAAUUUAAUUAUGAUAAGUUUAUAUAAAGAAUUCGGCAAAUUUUUUACUCGCCUGUUUAACAAAAACAUGUCUUUUUGAGUUAUUUUAAAAGUCUAACCUGCCCACUGAAUUUAUUUAAAUGGCCGCAGUAUUUUAACUGUGCAAAGGUAGCAUAAUCAUUAGUCUUUUAAUUGAAGGCUGGAAUGAAUGGUUGGACGAAGUAUAAGCUGUUUCAUAUAAAUUUAUAAUAGAAUUUUAUUUUUUAGUUAAAAAGCUAAAAUAUUAUUAAAAGACGAGAAGACCCUAUAAAUCUUUAUAUUUUAUAAUAAUUAAAUUUUAUUGAUAUAUUUUAUUUUUAUAUUAUAAAAUAUUUUGUUGGGGUGAUAUUAAAAUUUUAUUAACUUUUAAUUUUAUUUAAUCAUUAAUUUAUGAAUAAUUGAUCCGUUAAUAACGAUUAAAAGAUUAAGUUACUUUAGGGAUAACAGCGUAAUUUUUUUGGAGAGUUCAUAUCGAUAAAAAAGUUUGCGACCUCGAUGUUGGAUUAAGAGAUAUUUUUAGGUGUAGUCGCUUAAAUAUAAAGUCUGUUCGACUUUUAAAUUCUUACAUGAUCUGAGUUCAGACCGGCGUAAGCCAGGUUGGUUUCUAUCUUUAAUAAAUAUAAAUACUUUAGUACGAAAGGACCAAGUAUUAAAAUAAUAAUAUUUUAAUAUAAAGAAUAUUAAUAAUUAAUU